GAUACAACAUGGUAUUUCAGUUUACAAACAUAGAGCUCAAAAUUAAUUUAUAAACUGAGUUCAAAUUCAUGAAAGAUUACAAGCCAGAGUUCUCAAAAUAAAAUACAGCGGAAGUUUAAACAAUAAAGCGCGAAUAUAGAUACAUGACGACAUGAGUAGCCCACCACAUGUCAUCCAACACGAGACCACCUCAAGGCGAGAUUGGAGACCACUCAACCAAC
Molecule: long non-coding RNA, 221 nt
Filed under: Setaria viridis
Lineage: Eukaryota; Viridiplantae; Streptophyta; Magnoliopsida; Poales; Poaceae
Description: long non-coding RNA (SVIR_LNC010200)
Source: RNAcentral